AAGAGUUUGAUCCUGGCUCAGAUUGAACGCUGGCGGCAGGCCUAACACAUGCAAGUCGAGCGGAUGAGGGUAGCUUGCUACCUGAUUCAGCGGCGGACGGGGGAGUAAUGCCUAGGAAUCUGCCCGAUAGUGGGGGACAACGUUUCGAAAGGAACGCUAAUACCGCAUACGUCCUACGGGAGAAAGCAGGGGACCUUCGGGCCUUGCGCUAUCGGAUGAGCCUAGGUCGGAUUAGCUAGUUGGUGGGGUAAAGGCUCACCAAGGCGACGAUCCGUAACUGGUCUGAGAGGAUGAUCAGUCACACUGGAACUGAGACACGGUCCAGACUCCUACGGGAGGCAGCAGUGGGGAAUAUUGGACAAUGGGCGAAAGCCUGAUCCAGCCAUGCCGCGUGUGUGAAGAAGGUCUUCGGAUUGUAAAGCACUUUUAGUCGGAAAGAAAAGCACCGGGUUAAUACCCUGGUGUCAUGACGGUACCGGAAGAAUAAGCACCGGCUAACUUCGUGCCAGCAGCCGCGGUAAUACGAAGGGUGCAAGCGUUACUCGGAAUUACUGGGCGUAAAGCGUGCGUAGGCGGUUUGUUAAGUCUGAUGUGAAAGCCCUGGGCUCAACCUGGGAAUGGCAUUGGAUACUGGCAAUCUAGAAUGUGGUAGAGGGUGGCGGAAUUCCCGGUGUAGCAGUGAAAUGCGUAGAUAUCGGGAGGAACAUCCGUGGCGAAGGCGGCCACCUGGACCAACAUUGACGCUGAGGCACGAAAGCGUGGGGAGCAAACAGGAUUAGAUACCCUGGUAGUCCACGCCCUAAACGAUGCGAACUGGAUGUUGGGCUUUUGGAGCAAUUCAGUAACGAAGCUAACGCGUGAAGUUGACCGCCUGGGGAGUACGGCCGCAAGGUUAAAACUCAAAGGAAUUGACGGGGACCCGCACAAGCGGUGGAUGAUGUGGUUUAAUUCGAUGCAACGCGAAAAACCUUACCCACCUUUGACAUGUACGGAAGAUCGCAGAGACGCGAUUGUGCUCGAAAGAGAACCGUAACACAGGUGCUGCAUGGCUGUCGUCAGCUCGUGUCGUGAGAUGUUGGGUUAAGUCCCGCAACGAGCGCAACCCUUGCCAUUAGUUGCUACAUUCAGUUGGGCACUCUAAUGGGACUGCCGGUGACAAACCGGAGGAAGGUGGGGAUGACGUCAAGUCCUCAUGGCCCUUAUAGGUGGGGCUACACACGUCAUACAAUGGCUGGUACAAAGGGUUGCCAACCCGCGAGGGGGAGCUAAUCCCAUAAAGCCAGUCGUAGUCCGGAUCGUAGUCUGCAACUCGACUACGUGAAGUCGGAAUCGCUAGUAAUCGUGGAUCAGAAUGUCACGGUGAAUACGUUCCCGGGUCUUGUACACACCGCCCGUCACACCAUGGGAGCGGGUUCUGCCAGAAGUAGUUAGCCUAACCGCAAGGAGGGCGAUUACCACGGCAGGGUUCGUGACUGGGGUGAAGUCGUAACAAGGUAACCAG
RNAcentral lists this ribosomal RNA (1501 nucleotides) under uncultured bacterium. RNAcentral describes it as "partial 16S ribosomal RNA". It matches the Rfam family "Bacterial small subunit ribosomal RNA". The record is from RNAcentral.